GGGCGAAUGGUUUAGUGGUAUAAUACUCCCUUAGCAUGUUCUCUCUGGAGACCUCGCAUCUGGGAGUGGUCCAGGGUUCGAUUCCCUGUUCGUCCA
This 96-nucleotide transfer RNA is filed under the name Fusarium piperis. It matches the Rfam family "tRNA". Rfam says of the family: Transfer RNA (tRNA) molecules are approximately 80 nucleotides in length. Their secondary structure includes four short double-helical elements and three loops (D, anti-codon, and T loops). Lineage: Eukaryota; Fungi; Ascomycota; Sordariomycetes; Hypocreales; Nectriaceae. The record is from Rfam by way of RNAcentral.